Molecule: transfer RNA, 88 nt
Filed under: Actinomycetes bacterium
Lineage: Bacteria; Bacillati; Actinomycetota; Actinomycetes
Description: Actinobacteria bacterium tRNA-Ser
Rfam family: tRNA
About the family: Transfer RNA (tRNA) molecules are approximately 80 nucleotides in length.
Source: RNAcentral
GGAGAGGUGUCCGAGCGGUUGAAGGAGCACGCCUGGAAAGUGUGUAUACGGCAACGUAUCGAGGGUUCGAAUCCCUCUCUCUCCGCCA